ACGAACUUUCGGAAACUUGUUGGGCCGUGCACCGGGCGAAGUGCGGAGAUGGGUGGCGCCGGGCCAAGAGUGGCUGUUCGUACCGGGCGUAUAGCCAGGUAGGUUUGGAGAGGGGCGUGGUGGCGGGCGAGGAGGGUGUCUAGCGUGGCGGUGGUCGUGCAACGGGAUCUUCCAAAGGCGGGCCAGGUGGCGUCGUCGUGUGUUUCCCGUUUCGCUGGCGUCGCCCUUCGGAGGUGUCGCCCUGGGCUUGGCCGGCGGCGCGGCGGGGGCGGGGGCGGGGGAGAGGCGCUGCUGCCCUACCCCGCUUUCCCCGGGUUCCCCGGGUUCCCCCGGUUCCGCUUGCGGCUGCGGGAGUGCUUCCGGCGGGACCGGCGGUACUCGCUCCUCUGCUGGCAUGCGUAGUGGUGCCACGAGCUCCUGAAGGCGCGGAGGCUGCGGGUUCACGUGUGUAAGCUUGGAUCAGAAUGGUUAGUUCUCGCCCGACGUCAUGUACGAUACACAUUUUUCUACCCGUACUAUAGUUUCUCAUUUCCCAUACCCCUUGCCGCUACGGAAAGACAAAUGUUUUGAUUUUUGUGUGUCCGCGGACCAUUUCUUCUUCCGGGAUCGUUUGAGCCUAAAAGACUUCUUCGUUCUGUCUAAAACAAUCUAGACAAAUGUGUGAUAGGAGGACUACUACGACUUAACUUACCACUACGACAGUUCUUAGGACCGCUAUUCCGACGAUUUUAAGCUACCUUCUGUCUAUGUCGGAAAAGGUCCGGUCGAUACGUCUUUGUACUAUAUCGUUUCUUCCAGUUCUACGAAUGCAGCUUUAAUUCACUAGGAUCUGUCAACUCCUUCUAGCCACUUCUGUCUAGGUUUGAAGGCUAACGUAGGAAGUUUCUAGUGUAAAGAAGAUGGGAUCUUUUAGUGGUCCACCAAGAAUAAAGACCUCUUUGUCCGACGCCAUUUUGAUGGGUCCAAGGCGUUAUAUAGAAUCUAGUACACACCCCGUUCCCACUUAGUACAUUCUAGUAAACAUGAGUUGGCGCCGCCUAUAGUCGAUACAGUCAACGGCUUGCUUAGAGACAACUUUCUCCUCUCUGACAACCACUAUGUCAACCCAUGUUCUAUGCAAACCUUAGCUUCCCUCCCUUCUUAAGCAGUUAGUAAAAGACGUGUUUACCACAAGAGAACUCCCACAACUAUCCGUCUCAUUGAUUGUCAAGUUUAUCCGUUGCGCGUCGACUACUACAUUAAUACCCCUAUUGUGUGUAAUAACACCUACUUUAGGUACUUUCCCUAUCCAAAAGACUAAAGUACGACCGAUAGAACUCUCUAGACGACGGCUACAUAGGAGUAGAAGUAAACCACGAGUACUCACGUUGCUAACUACGACUCGCCAAAAGUGUUAUAAAGUUACCUACGGGCCAAUAAGCUCAGGGUCCGGUAUGGAUAGGCCAGUUUUGAAAGAUAAACCUCCUACACGAAAGAUAAGACGUUAGACAUCCACUAUUAGUAGAAUUAGGACUUUGUUUACUAGACCCUGAACUGUCACACGAUUGGCUACUAAUGUUUUCGAGUUACCUACUUCGUUAAUCGUACCGAAAUCGGUCACUACUUAAACUAGAAGAGUAACUCGAAUAAAGAUAUCUCGUCUUGGGUCUUUAGAAGUUGAUGGUUGUAAGUCUCUGACCACACUGUGGAAACUACCAAAAACGGUCCUUCCCAGUCGAACCCCUACAGACAUACGAAAAUAGUAAACCACACCUAACAAGACGUGCCCUAGUACUACCUUUUAGACGUAAUCUAACCCGUGUCGUUCUCUUAGUCCAUCUCCGAAUACUUCAAUAAUUCUUUGUAUACCUAACAUCAGGACGUUUUAAUGGACUUCUUUUGCUCGACGAAUUCUUUAUGAACCGGUGAUAGUUGGGUCUUGUGUAACUAUGACACGACUAUCUUGCCAACGAAUCUUUUUAUACAUGACUGAGGUUACUUCCUCGAUAGAAUCAGAAGGAAGGACCAACCCUUCUAUAUUUAGUUUGUGCCCUCUCCAAUGAACGAAGAAGGAAAGCCCUAAGAAGUUUUAAAGAACAUGACAGUGAAGUAAGGUACUAUGGUAGAAGUCUCGUCUUUUUCCAAAAGUUUGCACGUGGCCGUCCCCAAGCAUUUUAAUAAGAGAGUUGGUUGUAUCGCCUCUGACGUCAUUGUUAACUACUAUAACAUAAACAAGAUCUAUCACCCUCCUACUUUCUCUUUUCGAUACUAGGUAUGUUAUUACACAGAUGUGAAGUAUGAAGAACCCAUAGAGCUCGAUUACGUUCUGUCGCACUUCCUGCACGGCCAGCAACAGUCGGUCCUUAAACGAUAGUAGAAAUGAGAUCUAAAGCUCGUCGGAGCAACGGUCUUAAGGUUUAAGGACUUUAAUUCUCCUACGGAUAACUUCUCGACACAAACGUCCAGUUUGACGAACUAGGUUUGAGAUUUUAUCGUCUGAAAAAUUUAAUCUGGAACCUAGGAGGUCAAUGUCUCUGACAUUUUUUACGAUAAUGACACGAAGUCCUAGAACCACGAAAUUGAGUUUUACUUGUUAACUGUCUAAACCCACUUUUCAAUCCAAGAGAGGGCCAGGUAGGUAGGUGUUCGUUCUACGAGGACAAACCAUAUAACUACUUGACGGAACUAGGACGUAACUGUAACCGUACACGUCGUCUGAUAUCUCUAGGAAAGCAGGAAGGAUACCGAGGCCUACUCUCUUUUUCCCGACGACGUCGGUUCCAACUCGAACGAAGUAAUAUACCACCUAUAUCACUGGUCGAACGACAACAUCGUCGUAAACUAACAACCUGCACACGGUUUCUCUUUCCUGUUCUUCGAAACAAAACAAGUUUCAUGAAACAUCGAAGUUUGUGGUACUUAUACAACAGAUCAUACUCCUUUGUCGAGGUGUCACUUGAUCGAGUUUCUCCUAAAGAAGGACGACUAUGUAGACGGACGUCGAACUUACGAUUUCAAGGUCCAUAGUAAUCACGACAGGAACACCGACCGCGAAUGGGUUACCAUCCUGCUAACGAGGGAGGAGCGUUUUUACGAUCUUCCCGUCAACACCUUUGUCGUUCACCACGGUUUCAAGCUGAUGUGGGCGUAAGAAGGUUGAAAUUGAACAGUAAAUUAUUUAGGAGACCCUUAGGUGAUUACCAUAAACUACUUUAGUGAGCUCCACUACCACCUUACAUACAUUUCUUGACAAGUCAACAACCUAGUAUAGGAAAUGAAGACGAACGAUGUCUUUAUCGACAACGAGGUGGACUACUACAUUCACUACUCCUACUACUUCCAAGGUCACCCCUACUUCGCCCUUUUUCGUGAGACCCUGUUGUUUUCCUUCUCUAGUACAGAAGAGGGCUGUUGUGACAAAGUCAACAACAACUAGCCACCGAGGCUAAACUACGAUGACGAGACCUACAACGAGUCUAUAUGACGGAUGCUCUUGCGGAUCGUAGACGAUAAGAAAAGUUUCACUUUGUAGGUGUCCUACAAGAGGGCGGACGAGAACCUCGUUGCUACAUACGCUAACGAACAUAGGAUAGCAUACUACCGAACGGACCAUUAAACCGUUGUUUUGUACCAAGUCCAGUCUCGAGUCGUCUACGAUCGCCUAGUCGACUCCCUUCCUUUCCACCAAAAUAAGGCGGACCACCAAAGGAAUACAGUAACGAUAGCCUGUAUGGUGGGUUACGUGGAGUAGUAGUCUUCAGUAGAUUAGUAGGUCCCCCACCAAGUCCCGUAUAAUCCAGUAGCUCCCGGGGACGACCAUCUAAAUUAGUCAGCGUCGUCGCAGGACCGGCGUUGUCGAGACCUGGUCCCUCAAGUCGUAGUGUUAGAAAGUUUUCUGUCGCCCUGCGACGUGCCACUGGACUGGCACCGAGUGUACAUUAAGUCAUGACCUAGGGUACGAACCCAGAGUGUUCUUUUCACGGUACCAACCCUUAAUUACUCCUAAAACGCCACAAACAACCCUGCUUCCGUUUUACACGUUCGUUCCUUACACCUUUCCGUUACGGAAUUAGACAGUUCCUCUGGUAUUCUACAAGGACAAGUACUGGACGUCAAAACGUCUAGUCACGUAGAGCAACAAGACAAGCGGAACGACGGAUCGAGAGAAAGUACGGCCCUGAUGGCAGAUUAAAGUUAACUACCACAUAGGCACAGAGUCUCAACGAUCCUGAACCGAUUUUUGGUCCGUGGGCCAAAACACGACUCUUGUCAAUGACAUGCACUGUCAAUCCUAAAUCAUCAUACGCAACUAUAUAGAUAGGAUACUUUAAUGCAUAGACAUAGGAGACAAAAGGACCGUACUGUACUCGUUUUGUCGACCCUCGAGGCAUCACGUCAAAUAAACCAGGAAUGUUUUUAUAAGUUUUUGAUCCAACUACGUCAAGUCAUGUUUUUGUUUGUUUAAAACAAAUAAAAAUCCAGCAAACGACAGGACAACGACCUAAUAAA
This 4488-nucleotide ribosomal RNA is filed under the name Triticum aestivum (bread wheat). RNAcentral's name for it is "partial small subunit ribosomal RNA". The record is from RNAcentral. Lineage: Eukaryota; Viridiplantae; Streptophyta; Magnoliopsida; Poales; Poaceae.